GAUGAACGCUGGCGGCGUGCCUAAUACAUGCAAGUCGAGCGAACAGACGAGGAGCUUGCUCCUCUGACGUUAGCGGCGGACGGGUGAGUAACACGUGGAUAACCUACCUAUAAGACUGGGAUAACUUCGGGAAACCGGCGCUAAUACCGGAUAAUAUAUUGAACCGCAUGGUUCAAUAGUGAAAGACGGUUUUGCUGUCACUUAUAGAUGGAUCCGCGCCGCAUUAGCUAGUUGGUAAGGUAACGGCUUACCAAGGCGACUAUGCGUAGCCGACCUGAGAGGGUGAUCGGCCACACUGGAACUGAGACACGGUCCAGACUCCUACGGGAGGCAGCAGUAGGGAAUCUUACGCAAUGGGCGAAAGCCUGACGGAGCAACGCCGCGUGAGUGAUGAAGGUCUUCGGAUCGUAAAACUCUGUUAUUAGGGAAGAACAAAUGUGUAAGUAACUAUGCACGUCUUGACGGUACCUAAUCAGAAAGCCACGGCUAACUACGUG
Molecule: ribosomal RNA, 497 nt
Filed under: uncultured bacterium
Lineage: Bacteria
Description: partial 16S ribosomal RNA
Rfam family: Bacterial small subunit ribosomal RNA
Source: RNAcentral